CUACAGCAGGAAACUAGACAAUGCUGUAUCCCAGCAUGCAGUCCUCCCGUGUACCUGGGACUACAGGCACACACCAUUAUGCAUGGCGCAUGCCUGUAGUCCCAGGUACAUGGGAGGCUGAGGCAGGAGAAUCACUUGAACCUGGAAAGCAGAGGUUGCAGUGAGCUGAGAUCACACCACUGCACUCCAGCCUGGGAGACAGAGCUAGACUCCAUCUAAAAAAAAAAAAAAAGGCUGAAAAUAAAAAAGAAAGAAAAAGCUAUCCUCAUUAGAUCUGACUUUUUUGAGGGAAGAUCAGCUCCAGGGUCUUGGUGCAGACCUACAAGGCCUCUGUCUUGGCACUGGCAGCUCCACUGGGGACAUCCGAGCCAGCUGGCAGCAGCAGGAAUGAUGCUGGAAGAAGGAAGACAGUGACUGUGGAUCAGCAUGAGCUGAAAGGAGGAUCUUCUGGCUCACCCAUCUGGGAAGGGCGAAGAUGAAGUUGACCUCUGGAAAAGCCGGAUCCCAGGAUCCAAAUGAUAUCUUCAGGAGAACCAGAAGGCACUUUGCCGAGACCGAGAUUCAGCUGCAGGUCAAGCCUUUUCCUGCGUGGCUAUGUGCAAGGUUGCCAGUAAGGACAUGCCUUUCUCUUCCAGGAUUGCUAGGAUUGCAUCUUAACAAAGGUUUUUUCAGCACGUUGGAGAUAAUUGUGUGAUUUUCCUCCUUGAGUGUAUGAAUGUGGGUACAUGUGCAGAAUUUGCAAGAUAGUUGCAUCCUUGAGGAAUCGCCACACUGUCUCCCACAAUGGUUGAACCAAUUUACACUCCCACCAACAGUGUAAAAGUGAUCUUAUUUCUCCACAUCCUCUCCAGCAUCUGAUGUCUCCAGAUUUUUUAAUGAUCACCAUUCUAACUGGUAUAGGGUGGUAUCUCGAUGUGGUUUUGAUUUGCAUUUCUCUAAAGACCAGGGAUGAUGAGCAUUUUCUCAUAUGUUUGCUGGCUGCAUAAAUAUCUUCUUUCAAAAAUUGUCUGUUUAUAUCCUUUGCCCACUUUUUGAUGGGGUUGGUUUUUUGUUGUUGUUGUUUUGUUUUGUUUUUUUGUAAAUCUGUUUUAAUUCUUUAUAGAUUCUGGAUAUUAGUCCUUUGUCAGAUGGGUAGCUUGCAAAAAUUUUUUCCCCUUCUCUUGGUUGCCAGUUCACUCUAAUGAUUGUUUCUUUUGCUGUGCAGAAACUUUUCCACAGUGAAAAGCCUCUUUUAAUUUACAAAGAAUGAUUUUGAAUAUCAAAAGUUUAUGUGCUAAAGUACUUUGUAUGUGAAAUGUGUACUGUACAUUAUGGAAUUGGAAAGAAUUCAGGUUUUUGUUUUUGUUGUCGUCGUUUUGUUUUUUGCCAAAAUAAAAUAAAGGCAUCCAGCCUUUGGAGAAGAUGGCACCAUGGUUAGAUACUGUGGAAAGCCCAUUCUUAGUCAUACCCCAAAUAAGCCCGGAAGGAAGGAAGGAAGGAAGGAAGGAAGGAAGGAAGGAAGGAAGGAAGGAAGGAAGGAAUCUGAUGGAAGCAGAGAAGGAUUGAGUGUGCAAUUGAAUGCCCAGGUCCCCUCAAGAAGUAGUGGAGAGAAGGCCAAAGGACCUAGAGUAGCCUCAAAAUGGUCACAAGAAAAAUAUCAAGUACAGGGACUAUACUGAUAAGGACUAAGUCAAGAUCGGAAUAAUCUCAAUUAAUGGCAACAGAGAUGGCCACUGGGGCUCAUGUAUCUCCAGAGAAUCCAAUCUGAGGAGGUAAAAAUGAUCCUGGAUAAAGUUCUUCUUCCUGAACUUGACCUGAACUUGAUUCACCCCAAGGAUAAUGGGGAACUGGACGAAAGGGAAGAAGAAGAGCCUUUCAUUUUAUUGUUUUUACUCAUAACAUGUCUUAUUAAUCAUUAACUGCUUGAGUUUACAUGAAAAGGUUUAGAUUACUUUUUUUUUCAUCAAGCAGAUCGGGAGCUCAAAAUUACAAAGUAGAAUGAAUUGCAGAACUUUCUUAAAGUAACCUUUGUAGAAACUUGCAUAGAUAGCCUGUAUAAUUCACGACUGGUUUACACAUUUUAUUUGACAUUUCUGCAUUUUAAAAAUAUUUGACAAUGAGAAUCCUGUGUACUCAUAUAUUUC
This is a long non-coding RNA of Callithrix jacchus (white-tufted-ear marmoset), 2123 nucleotides long. RefSeq lists it as uncharacterized. Lineage: Eukaryota; Metazoa; Chordata; Mammalia; Primates; Cebidae. The record is from RefSeq and is a predicted model, not a curated record.